UUCAGAGGCGCCCGGCUUGAUCAUGUUUAAAACAGAAUGCUGGAUUAUAUGGCAUUUGGUCCAGUCCAGGGGAGGUCUUCUUACUUCUUGCAAAUCCCACUUGCUCCCAAGGAAUAUCCUGACUCACCAUUUGUCUCCAAGUGAAGUCUCUGGAGAAAAGAAGAAGAAGAAGAAAGGCAUGCACUUGGUAUUCAGGAUACAGAGCGCUGCAAAACGCAACUCUAUGGCACAUUCUGGAAAAGUGAAUGCAAAUCAGACAUUUGCCUUUCAUUUGACGAACACCCAGCCUCCCCCGGAUAGUUCUGAGUGGAGUGAUUGAUUGAAUGAUUACUUUAUAAUGAUACUUUAUAAGCUGUGCCUGUUAAUAUAGCAGUUUGUUUAUAACAGGCACUUAUAUAUAAUGUUAUAAAUACAUAAUGCAUCAAGAAUGAUUGAGCUCUGUCUGGAAUGCACCGAGAAACAAUACGGUGCUGUGACACUCUGGGGUAUUUUCAUUUAGGGUAUACAGUACUGGAAUGCAGUAAGGAACAACAGGAUGCUGUGGCAGAGAGGUGUUUUCAGUUGGCAAGGCAUGUACUCUGAGAAGUAGCGAGAAGCAUUAGAGUGCUGGGGUAGACAUCUCUGUCUGCUCGGCCUAGUAUGGACUCUGGAAUGUCGUCAGGAGCAGAACAGUCCUGCUGUCUUCCCGGGAUGCAGUAAGAAACAAUGGAAUGCUGUAGCAUGCAGAUGCAGUUAACAUGGGAAUGGGCAUCAGACUUCCACUAGAUUUCCAGAAGUGGCUUUUACAUCACAUGAAAGAUCACAUUAAAAAAAGAAAAUUAUCAGGAGGGAGGCAGGACAAGCAAGGAGGGGAAAGCGAGAGCCAUCAAUAUUGGAACUGCUAUAUUUCUCAAAUAAAAUUUAUUGACAGGGGACUUGGUGGGUUUGAUUGUUUGCUAAGGGAACGCUUUCCAAACGGCUGAAGACAAUGAGUGCAUAGGAAAGAGUCAGAUUAAUGCAGAAUGAUAACAGUAAUUCUGUCUCCCAUGCUAAUAGCUGCAC
Molecule: non-coding RNA, 1041 nt
Organism: Zootoca vivipara (common lizard)
Lineage: Eukaryota; Metazoa; Chordata; Lepidosauria; Squamata; Lacertidae
Source: RefSeq, a predicted model, not a curated record